RNAcentral lists this ribosomal RNA (253 nucleotides) under uncultured bacterium. Its description in RNAcentral is "partial 16S ribosomal RNA". It matches the Rfam family "Bacterial small subunit ribosomal RNA", at positions 524 to 776 of the family's 1533-position model. The record is from RNAcentral.
UACGUAGGGUGCGAGCGUUAAUCGGAAUUACUGGGCGUAAAGCGUGCGCAGGCGGUUUUGGAAGCCAGAUGUGAAAUCCCCGGGCUUAACCUGGGAAUGGCAUUUGGGACUGCAAGGCUUGAGUGCGGCAGAGGAGAGUGGAAUUCCUGGUGUAGCGGUGAAAUGCGCAGAUAUCAGGAAGAACACCGGUGGCGAAGGCGGCCCACUGGAUCGGUACUGACGCUGAGGUGCGAAAGCGUGGGGAGCAAACAGG